CCCCUCAUAGCUCAAUGGAUAGAGCGCGGGCCUUCUAAGCCUGAAAUCGAGGUUCGACUCCUCGUGAGGGGA
RNAcentral lists this transfer RNA (72 nucleotides) under Parcubacteria group bacterium. RNAcentral's name for it is "tRNA-Arg". It matches the Rfam family "tRNA". From Rfam's summary of the family: Transfer RNA (tRNA) molecules are approximately 80 nucleotides in length. The record is from RNAcentral.